This 951-nucleotide ribosomal RNA is filed under the name Klebsiella pneumoniae subsp. pneumoniae. RNAcentral's name for it is "partial 23S ribosomal RNA". It matches the Rfam family "Bacterial large subunit ribosomal RNA", at positions 419 to 1372 of the family's 2925-position model. The record is from RNAcentral. Lineage: Bacteria; Pseudomonadati; Pseudomonadota; Gammaproteobacteria; Enterobacterales; Enterobacteriaceae.
GGGACACGUGGUAUCCUGUCUGAAUAUGGGGGGACCAUCCUCCAAGGCUAAAUACUCCUGACUGACCGAUAGUGAACCAGUACCGUGAGGGAAAGGCGAAAAGAACCCCGGCGAGGGGAGUGAAAAAGAACCUGAAACCGUGUACGUACAAGCAGUGGGAGCACCUUCGGGUGUGACUGCGUACCUUUUGUAUAAUGGGUCAGCGACUUAUAUUCUGUAGCAAGGUUAACCGUAUAGGGGAGCCGCAGGGAAACCGAGUCUUAACUGGGCGUUAAGUUGCAGGGUAUAGACCCGAAACCCGGUGAUCUAGCCAUGGGCAGGUUGAAGGUUGGGUAACACUAACUGGAGGACCGAACCGACUAAUGUUGAAAAAUUAGCGGAUGACUUGUGGCUGGGGGUGAAAGGCCAAUCAAACCGGGAGAUAGCUGGUUCUCCCCGAAAGCUAUUUAGGUAGCGCCUCGUGAAUUCAUCUUCGGGGGUAGAGCACUGUUUCGGCUAGGGGGUCAUCCCGACUUACCAACCCGAUGCAAACUACGAAUACCGAAGAAUGUUAUCACGGGAGACACACGGCGGGUGCUAACGUCCGUCGUGAAGAGGGAAACAACCCAGACCGCCAGCUAAGGUCCCAAAGUCAUGGUUAAGUGGGAAACGAUGUGGGAAGGCACAGACAGCCAGGAUGUUGGCUUAGAAGCAGCCAUCAUUUAAAGAAAGCGUAAUAGCUCACUGGUCGAGUCGGCCUGCGCGGAAGAUGUAACGGGGCUAAACCAUGCACCGAAGCUGCGGCAGCGACACUAUGUGUUGUUGGGUAGGGGAGCGUUCUGUAAGCCUGCGAAGGUGUGCUGUGAGGCAUGCUGGAGGUAUCAGAAGUGCGAAUGCUGACAUAAGUAACGAUAAAGCGGGUGAAAAGCCCGCUCGCCGGAAGACCAAGGGUUCCUGUCCAACGUUAAUCGG